UGACGUCAAAUCAUCAUGCCCCUUAUGACCUGGGCUACACACGUGCUACAAUGGGCGGUACAAAGGGCUGCGAACCCGCGAGGGGGAGCGAAUCCCAAAAAGCCGCUCUCAGUUCGGAUUGCAGGCUGCAACUCGCCUGCAUGAAGCCGGAAUCGCUAGUAAUCGCGGAUCAGCAUGCCGCGGUGAAUACGUUCCCGGGCCUU
Molecule: ribosomal RNA, 203 nt
Filed under: uncultured Geobacillus sp.
Lineage: Bacteria; Bacillati; Bacillota; Bacilli; Caryophanales; Anoxybacillaceae
Description: partial 16S ribosomal RNA
Rfam family: Bacterial small subunit ribosomal RNA
Source: RNAcentral